UUCCUAGUAGCUCAGUUGGUAAAGAGUCUGUCUGCAAUGCAGAAAAUCCUGGUUCAAUUCUUGGGUCGGAAG
RNAcentral lists this transfer RNA (72 nucleotides) under Bos taurus (domestic cattle). It matches the Rfam family "tRNA". From Rfam's summary of the family: Transfer RNA (tRNA) molecules are approximately 80 nucleotides in length. Their secondary structure includes four short double-helical elements and three loops (D, anti-codon, and T loops). Further hydrogen bonds mediate the characteristic L-shaped molecular structure. tRNAs have two regions of fundamental functional importance: the anti-codon, which is responsible for specific mRNA codon recognition, and the 3' end, to which the tRNAs corresponding amino acid is attached (by aminoacyl-tRNA synthetases). tRNAs cope with the degeneracy of the genetic code in two manners: having more than one tRNA (with a specific anti-codon) for a particular amino acid; and 'wobble' base-pairing, i.e. permitting non-standard base-pairing at the 3rd anti-codon position. The record is from Rfam by way of RNAcentral. Lineage: Eukaryota; Metazoa; Chordata; Mammalia; Artiodactyla; Bovidae. RNAcentral also lists the same sequence under 1 other name.